CGACCGGCGCACGGGUGAGUAACGCGUAUGUAAUCUACCUGUAACAGAGGGAUAACCCGGAGAAAUCCGGACUAAUACCUCAUAGCACAUAUUAUUCGCAUGAAUUUUAUGUUAAAGAGACUCGGUUACAGAUGAACAUGCGUUCCAUUAGCUAGUUGGCGGGGUUACGGCCCACCAAGGCAACGAUGGAUGGGGGUUCUGAGAGGAAGGUCCCCCACACUGGUACUGAGACACGGACCAG
This 241-nucleotide ribosomal RNA is filed under the name uncultured bacterium. RNAcentral's name for it is "partial 16S ribosomal RNA". It matches the Rfam family "Bacterial small subunit ribosomal RNA", at positions 92 to 334 of the family's 1533-position model. The record is from RNAcentral.